AGCAUGUGCACAUCUGAUGGAAUGUAUAUGGACACUGUGAAGGAGUAGCAUAGGCAAAGGGUGAUGUAUGUUAAGUUGCUGCCUAUUUUGUAAAGCAGUAAUUUGAGAGGUUGGAGGAUAAGAAGAAAAGCAGCUAUGCGGCGGCAUGAAUUGUUAUCACAGCAAAGCUUACUCCAUUGGCUUUGUCAUUUACAUUUAUUCCAUUUCCAGUGGCUCAUCCCUUCUGCAAACUCACAGUGAGUAGACAUGUGAGGGAAGAACAGGCAUCUUAUUGCUGGCUCAACAAGUCUAGCAAUGUGUAGUUGCUGUGAUCUACAAGUAUUUGAUCUGUGUGGAUAUUACUGUGAAAAGCUGCAUCAAAUUAUCAUCAUCAUCGCUGCUGAGGAUCCCGAUUCCAGCUGUUCCUGGUGUCUAGGCAAGAAACUCCCAGGUAACAACCAGAUGAAUCUCAAAACUGCAGCAAACAGAAAAAGUUUUGUCAGGAAACCAGGAGGGAAAUGUUUGUUGGGAGUAGAGAAUUGUUUCUUCCUGAAUGUGUCUUCUUGGGGUUUUUUGUUGUUGUUGGUUUUUUUGGUCAGCUUCUUCAAAAUAUGUACAUAUUUUUAAGAGGGUAACCAGGGUUUAGAUAUAACCAGUCACUACUUAAUUGUUCUCAAACGUUGUAUCUCAACCUAAAAUGAAUUGAAUGACUGUACUUUAUUUCACCUAUUACAAAUUUCUUUGUAGUCCCAUAUUAUGUUAUCCCUACAGCUAUUAGAUACAGUACCACUGUGAUACUGCCCUCCUGAUAUAGCAGUGUACAGUGAAGUCAAACCUACUGUGUGGGUCAUAAUAAAAAAGAUCUGUUUUUCUUUGGAGACA
RNAcentral lists this long non-coding RNA (861 nucleotides) under Coturnix japonica (Japanese quail). RNAcentral describes it as "lncRNA (ENSCJPG00005003937.1)". The record is from RNAcentral. Lineage: Eukaryota; Metazoa; Chordata; Aves; Galliformes; Phasianidae.